Molecule: ribosomal RNA, 390 nt
Filed under: uncultured bacterium
Lineage: Bacteria
Description: bacterial SSU rRNA
Rfam family: Bacterial small subunit ribosomal RNA
Source: RNAcentral
GACGAACGCUGGCGGCGUGCUUAACACAUGCAAGUCGAGCGGUAAGGCCCUUUCGGGGGUACGACGAGCGGCGAACGGGUGAGUAACACGUGGGUGACCUGCCCUCAGCUCUGGGAUAAGCCUGGGAAACUGGGUCUAAUACUGGAUAUGACUCCACGGUGCAUGUCGUGGGGUGGAAAGCCUUGUGCGGCUGAGGAUGGGCCCGCGGCCUAUCAGCUUGUUGGUGGGGUGAGGCCUACCAAGGCGACGACGGGUAGCCGGCCUGAGAGGGCGACCGGCCACACUGGGACUGAGACACGGCCCAGACUCCUACGGGAGGCAGCAGUGGGGAAUCUUGCGCAAUGGGCGAAAGCCUGACGCAGCGACGCCGCGUGAGGGAUGACGGCCUGG